CCUACGGGUGGCAGCAGUGAGGAAUAUUGGUCAAUGGACGCAAGUCUGAACCAGCCAUGCCGCGUGCAGGAAGACGGCUCUAUGAGUUGUAAACUGCUUUUGUACGAGGGUAAACGCAGAUACGCGUAUCUGUCUGAAAGUAUCGUACGAAUAAGGAUCGGCUAACUCCGUGCCAGCAGCCGCGGUAAUACGGAGGAUUCAAGCGUUAUCCGGAUUUAUUGGGUUUAAAGGGUGCGUAGGCGGUCGGAUAAGUUAGAGGUGAAAUCCCGAGGCUGAACCUCGGAAUUGCCUCUGAUACGGUUCGGCUAGAGAGUAGAUGCAGUAGGCGGAAUGAGUGGUGUAGCGGUGAAAUGCUUAGAGAUUAUACAGAACACCGAUUGCGAAGGCAGCUUACCAAGCUGCAUCUGACGUUGAGGCACGAAAGCGUGGGGAGCGAACAGGAUUAGAUACCCGGGUAGUC
This 460-nucleotide ribosomal RNA is filed under the name uncultured bacterium. Its description in RNAcentral is "partial 16S ribosomal RNA". It matches the Rfam family "Bacterial small subunit ribosomal RNA", at positions 338 to 795 of the family's 1533-position model. The record is from RNAcentral.